RNAcentral lists this ribosomal RNA (214 nucleotides) under Escherichia coli. RNAcentral describes it as "partial 16S ribosomal RNA". It matches the Rfam family "Bacterial small subunit ribosomal RNA", at positions 1 to 213 of the family's 1533-position model. The record is from RNAcentral. Lineage: Bacteria; Pseudomonadati; Pseudomonadota; Gammaproteobacteria; Enterobacterales; Enterobacteriaceae.
UUAAAUUGAAGAGUUUGAUCAUGGCUCAGAUUGAACGCUGGCGGCAGGCCUAACACAUGCAAGUCGAACGGUAACAGGAAGCAGCUUGCUGCUUUGCUGACGAGUGGCGGACGGGUGAGUAAUGUCUGGGAAACUGCCUGAUGGAGGGGGAUAACUACUGGAAACGGUAGCUAAUACCGCAUAACGUCGCAAGACCAAAGAGGGGGACCUUAGG